RNAcentral lists this ribosomal RNA (638 nucleotides) under uncultured Actinomycetes bacterium. RNAcentral describes it as "bacterial SSU rRNA". It matches the Rfam family "Bacterial small subunit ribosomal RNA", at positions 231 to 885 of the family's 1533-position model. The record is from RNAcentral. Lineage: Bacteria; Bacillati; Actinomycetota; Actinomycetes.
CCCCGCCUGGGGAGUACGGGUGAGGUAACGGCUCACCAAGGCAUCGACGGGUAGCUGGUCUGAGAGGAUGAUCAGCCACACUGGGACUGAGACACGGCCCAGACUCCUACGGGAGGCAGCAGUAGGGAAUAUUGCACAAUGGGCAAAAGCCUGAUGCAGCAACGCCGCGUGCGGGAAGAAGGCCCUAGGGUUGUAAACCGCUUUCAGCAGGGAAGAAAAUGACGGUACCUGCAGAAGAAGGUGCGGCCAACUACGUGCCAGCAGCCGCGGUGACACGUAGGCACCAAGCGUUGUCCGGAUUUAUUGGGCGUAAAGAGCUCGUAGGCGGUUCAGUAAGUCGGGUGUGAAAACUCUGGGCUCAACCCAGAGACGCCACUCGAUACUGCUGUGACUCGAGUGCGGUAGGGGAGCGGGGAAUUCCUAGUGUAGCGGUGAAAUGCGCAGAUAUUAGGAGGAACACCAGUGGCGAAGGCGCCGCUCUGGGCCGUAACUGACGCUGAGGAGCGAAAGCGUGGGUAGCAAACAGGAUUAGAUACCCUGGUAGUCCACGCCGUAAACGUUGGGCACUAGGUGUGGGUCUCAACCAACGAGAUCCGCGCCGUCGCUAACGCAUUAAGUGCCCCGCCUGGGGAGUACGG